Hippoglossus stenolepis (Pacific halibut) is the source of this 717-nucleotide long non-coding RNA. RefSeq lists it as uncharacterized. The transcript has 3 exons. The record is from RefSeq and is a predicted model, not a curated record. NCBI's taxonomy places the organism in Eukaryota, Metazoa, Chordata, Actinopteri, Pleuronectiformes, Pleuronectidae.
GAGGCUGAAUACAGCGCUGUUCGAUUUGACAGUGCAACAGGAACAAGACGUGAAGAAGAGGGGGACGAUUCAUCUGCAGUGUACAGCACAGUCACCAAACACUGAAGAAACACAACAUGAAUCUGUUGUUUAUGGAUUUUACAGCCUCACGGAGCCAGAAGAAAUAAAACAUAUAGACAUGUGCAGUGUUUGUAAAGGUUUGUCUUCUUUCUUGAUGGGUUGGUUAACCCAGAUUACAAAUUCUCUCACUUCUCUCUUUGGAAGUCACGAAAGGUAAAGGUAAGAAAGUUGUUCUUCUUCUCCCACAAUUGAAAAUAUUUCCCAGGCUCAACCAGGUGUAGAGUUAGCCUCAGGUUAGGCUAACGCUAACCGUAAUGUAUGUUACUGUCAAAAUGUUACAAAUAACAAUAAGAUUAUUAUAAAUUGUAAUUAGUUGUAACUCUUUCUCAAUCGUGCCGUGUCGGACGGUUGAGAAAAGUAAACCGCUGCGUCCACUGGCUGAUCGAGGGGGGGCAGGCCUGUUCAACGCUGCUUACAGCUUCAGUUGAGGAUGAUUCAGGUUUGGUGUGAACAGCCACUAAAGUCGUUUCUAACACUCUGUUACAUGAAGAAAUUCACAGUUUGUACAAACCACAGUUUAAUCUUCCACCAUCGGGCUCAGGAUGCAUUCACAGACGAGAGCAGCAGCUACUAUGAGUGUAACUGCAGCAGCCAGUG